UACGUAGGGUGCAAGCGUUAAUCGGAAUUACUGGGCGUAAAGCGUGCGUAGGUGGUUUGUUAAGUCUGAUGUGAAAGCCCUGGGCUCAACCUGGGAACUGCAUUGGAUACUGGCUUACUAGAGUGCGGUAGAGGGUGGCGGAAUUCCCGGUGUAGCAGUGAAAUGCGUAGAUAUCGGGAGGAACAUCCGUGGCGAAGGCGGCCACCUGGACCAGCACUGACACUGAGGCACGAAAGCGUGGGGAGCAAACAGG
Molecule: ribosomal RNA, 253 nt
Filed under: uncultured bacterium
Lineage: Bacteria
Description: partial 16S ribosomal RNA
Rfam family: Bacterial small subunit ribosomal RNA
Source: RNAcentral